RNAcentral lists this long non-coding RNA (212 nucleotides) under Phoenix dactylifera (date palm). Its description in RNAcentral is "long non-coding RNA (PDAC_LNC011989)". Lineage: Eukaryota; Viridiplantae; Streptophyta; Magnoliopsida; Arecales; Arecaceae. The record is from RNAcentral.
UUUUUUAUGAUCAUUUUGUCAUACCAAAAGUACUUUCUCAGUUUAUUUACUAAACAUAUGUUAAAAUUCCAUAGCACUUUAGAAAUGUAGUUAAUAAACAGCAAACAGUUUUUUAUAAAAACUCUACUUCAAAAAGCUCUAUUUUCAAAAGCUCUACUGCCAACAGCUUUGCCGAACAGAGCCUUAGGCCCUGUUUGGGGGAGCUGUUGGCA